Molecule: non-coding RNA, 31 nt
Filed under: Rattus norvegicus (Norway rat)
Lineage: Eukaryota; Metazoa; Chordata; Mammalia; Rodentia; Muridae
Source: RNAcentral
UCCAGUCCUUGCUGCCAACUUCUAUUUCCAA